RNAcentral lists this long non-coding RNA (1905 nucleotides) under Chinchilla lanigera (long-tailed chinchilla). RNAcentral describes it as "lncRNA (ENSCLAG00000022794.1)". The record is from RNAcentral. Lineage: Eukaryota; Metazoa; Chordata; Mammalia; Rodentia; Chinchillidae.
UACCCCUCUCUGCCUGUCCCUCUGAGCUCCAGAGACCAUGACUAAUUCCCCUUGGUCCCAAGGUUUGACUUCUGGUUGCUGAGAGCAGCAGCUCAGGGAAGCCACUAAAGAGACAAAGAAAGGAAGAAAGGACAGUGCUACUGGCCACAGAGCUGGCUCGGUUGUUCUCACGGCCGGCCGGGAGUGUGGACAGAAAAGCCAGCCCAGGUAGGCAGCCAGCUCCUGCUUCCUCUCAGAGAAGGGCUGCCUGUGGAGAUAAUGACCCUCAGCUAAAAGCAGCUUAAUCCCAAAAGUGGCCUGAAGAAACGAAGUUGACUGUCAGAGGGAGUGUCAUCGGGCAAGGUGGAAAUACCUGGCACCUCGGUGAGUCACACUGAGUGCAAGACUAAAGGAAAAAUAUGCCCCCUUAAUAUGUAUGUAAAAUUAUAUAUAUAAUUUUUUCAGUUACUUUCAGAAUUAAGUUUUGAAAAUGUUAGCUAUCAGUGUGCUUCCAUUAAAGCUGGCAAAGGAAAAACUGACACAUAUUCUAAGAAUAAAAUGAUGCCGUGAGUUUUGAUACAGCUAAUUUUUUUUAACUUUCGAUACAUUUUUUUCAACUAAUGUUUUUGGGGGAAAAUUACCUUUAAAAGACUAUGAAAAUAUAGAGAAAGAGGCACCUUCCUCCUUUGGCCACACACCGAAGUCAGGUCCCGCUACGGCGCUGUCAGAUCUUGUCACUGAUGUCCUGCUCAUCGUGGAUAAAUGUUAGCACGAUUCUGGUUUUUAAAAUUAUUGCAUUUAAGUACGAGCUAUCUGGAUUACUGAGUUUGUUGGCAGUGUCCUAGAUUUUAUGCACAAGGACCACUCACCUCUCCCCACUUCUGGCCCUCAGUGAGUUAAACCACUUGGCACUAACCCCAGCAAUGCCACCCGGGGCCUGACACUGCCUCCCACACCAGGGUGGCAAGGUGCAUGCUUAAGGGCAUUGAUUAUGGUAUGGGGAGCCCGUUCCAGAGCCCCUCAGAAGACUGCUUACAUAGUUGGCAUAUGAUGCUUUGACUUUUCAAGCACAGGAAAACACCUCUGAAAUAUGAUGAAAAGACUUGCAAAAUAAUGUCUAUAAUAAAGCAAACAUUUCUAUUUGCACUGUUGGAAAUGGCUCUUGUGCAUUAGCCCUGUUCUCACAACUGUCCUGUAAGGUCAUCAACGAGGAAAUUGGGGGCCAGACAAGCUAACUGUCCCAGGGGUACAGCCGGAGUACAGCAGGGAAGCAGCAAUCCAGCCUCAGAGUUCAAAACGUUUAGUCACUAAAGUUAGAGUGCUUCUCCUGGGAUUUCAGAAUCUGUAUUUAUACAUGUGCAUGUGACAUGGGAGAAUCAGGAGGCAGGUCACAAACUGUUACUGAUGGUUAUCUCAGGUGGAGGUGACCUUACAGGAUGCUUUAGCUUUCAAUACAAUUUGAUUUGAGCAAUAUGACUUCUCAACAGGAAAUAUAGAAACCAGAAAAAGCCAUAUUAAGGUCACAGUGUAACAGAUCCUAUUCUGGGCACUUUCAAAGUGUUACCUCUUUUCGCCCUUGGAAGAGCCCUGUUAGUACACCAUUCUACAGGUGGGAAAACUGACAUUGGCAAAGGCGAAGAGGCUGGACUAAGCUCACAAAACUUGAAAGCGAUGGAGCCUGAUUUCAAAUUCAGAUCUCCAAAAUAGCAGUGUGCUGAACACAGGCUGUGACUUGCUUUUCUUCAGUAUGUUUAAUGCCUGCAUGUUGGUGCCCUGCAAAGAAAUCACACAUUUAUAGUUAAGCCCCUAUUGUUGGGCAUUUACGGUUCUGAGCUACUAAUAUGGAGUCUGCUAGGAGGAGGCUCCUUGCCCCUGGGGCAUACUACUGGUGCUAGUUGAAGGGCUGCAGGCACGGCUUGGUCCAGC